AAUCUAGAUCCUGUUUUAUCUGCUUCAAACUUGGUUAAGAAAAAUUGCUACUCAAUUCAGGCUAUUUGGCAGAAUGAGUAAGAGCACACUCCACAGUGGACCAUACCACUUAGUAUGGUUCAUUACUAUAUUGUGGCCUACAUU
Rattus norvegicus (Norway rat) is the source of this 144-nucleotide small nucleolar RNA. Ensembl annotates it as small nucleolar RNA SNORA4. The record is from Ensembl. Lineage: Eukaryota; Metazoa; Chordata; Mammalia; Rodentia; Muridae.